Molecule: ribosomal RNA, 1072 nt
Filed under: uncultured Gemmatimonadota bacterium
Lineage: Bacteria; Pseudomonadati; Gemmatimonadota
Description: bacterial SSU rRNA
Rfam family: Bacterial small subunit ribosomal RNA
Source: RNAcentral
GAAUCAACGCUGGCGGCGUGCCUAACACAUGCAAGUCGAACGGGAAACCCGCCUUCGGGCGGGGAGUAGAGUGGCGAACGGGUGAGUAACGCGUGGGUGAUCUGCCCUUCAGAGGGGGAUAACCGCCGAAAGGGGGGGCUAAUACCGCAUGAGCCUGCAAGGUCGAAGCUGCAGGGAAAAGCGAAAGUUGCUGAAGGAGGAGCCCGCGUCCGAUUAGCUAGUUGGAGAGGCAAGAGCUCCCCAAGGCGACGAUCGGUAGCCGGUCUGAGAGGACGGACGGCCACACUGGGACUGAGACACGGCCCAGACUCCUACGGGAGGCAGCAGUGGGGAAUUUUGGGCAAUGGGCGAAAGCCUGACCCAGCAACGCCGCGUGGAGGACGAAGAUCUUCGGGUCGUAAACUCCUGUCCGAAGGGACGAAGACAGUGACGGUACCUUUGGAGGAAGCCCCGGCUAACUCCGUGCCAGCAGCCGCGGUAAUACGGGGGGGGCAAGCGUUGUUCGGAAUUACUGGGCGUAAAGGGCGCGUAGGCGGUUUCGGCAGUCAUGGGUGAAAGCCCCCGGCUCAACCGGGGAAUGGCCUGUGAAACCACGGGACUGGAGUGCUGGAGAGGGAAGCGGAAUUCCCAGUGUAGCGGUGAAAUGCGUAGAUAUUGGGAGGAACACCGGAGGCGAAGGCGGCUUUCCUGGACAGACACUGACGCUGAGGCGCGAAAGCCAGGGGAGCAAACGGGAUUAGAUACCCCGGUAGUCCUGGCUGUAAACGAUGAACACUUGGUGUGGGGGGUAGGACGAGUCCCUCCGUGCCGGAGAUAAUUCGAUAAGUGUUCCGCCUGGGGAGUACGGCCGCAAGGUCUGAAACUCAAAGGGAUUGACGGGGGCCCGCACAAGCGGUGGAGCAUGUGGUUUAAUUCGACGCAACGCGAAGAACCUUACCGGGGAUUGAACUGCUCGGGCAAUCUACAGAGAUGUAGAGUUUCCUUCGGGAACCCGGACAGAGGUGCAGCAUGGCUGUCGUCAACUCGUGUCGUGAGAUGUUGGGUUAAGUCACGCAGACUAGCGCAACCCUUG